AUCCAGCUGACGAGUCCCAAAUAGGAUUAAAUACGCGUCCUGGAU
RNAcentral lists this non-coding RNA (45 nucleotides) under Schistosoma mattheei. Lineage: Eukaryota; Metazoa; Platyhelminthes; Trematoda; Strigeidida; Schistosomatidae. The record is from RNAcentral.